UACGUAGGGACCGAGCGUUGUCCGGAUUCAUUGGGCGUAAAGGGCGCGUAGGCGGGAUGGCAAGUCGGUCGUGAAAUCCCUCGGCUCAACCGAGGAACGUCGAUCGAUACUGCUGUUCUUGAGGAUUGCAGAGGAGACUGGAAUUCCCGGUGUAGCGGUGAAAUGUGUAGAGAUCGGGAGGAACACCGGUGGCGAAGGCGGGUCUCUGGGCAAUUCCUGACGCUGAGGCGCGAAAGCGUGGGGAGCAAACGGG
Molecule: ribosomal RNA, 253 nt
Filed under: uncultured bacterium
Lineage: Bacteria
Description: partial 16S ribosomal RNA
Rfam family: Bacterial small subunit ribosomal RNA
Source: RNAcentral